UGGCGGGUCGUCUAACGGUAGGACAGAUGAUUUUGAUUCAUCCAAUCGGGGUUCGAUUCCCUGCCCGCCAG
RNAcentral lists this transfer RNA (71 nucleotides) under bacterium. Its description in RNAcentral is "tRNA-Gln". It matches the Rfam family "tRNA". From Rfam's summary of the family: Transfer RNA (tRNA) molecules are approximately 80 nucleotides in length. Their secondary structure includes four short double-helical elements and three loops (D, anti-codon, and T loops). Further hydrogen bonds mediate the characteristic L-shaped molecular structure. tRNAs have two regions of fundamental functional importance: the anti-codon, which is responsible for specific mRNA codon recognition, and the 3' end, to which the tRNAs corresponding amino acid is attached (by aminoacyl-tRNA synthetases). tRNAs cope with the degeneracy of the genetic code in two manners: having more than one tRNA (with a specific anti-codon) for a particular amino acid; and 'wobble' base-pairing, i.e. permitting non-standard base-pairing at the 3rd anti-codon position. RNAcentral also lists the same sequence under 1 other name. The record is from RNAcentral.